AGUUUCAAUAACGUAUAUUAAAAUUGUUGUAAUUAAAAAACUCGUAGUUGGAUUUGUGAUCUACGCAAGACUUCCGUCCCUCUUGGGUUUCGGUGUUGCCUGGCGUUGCCAUUCUUGGAUAGAAUCUGUGUAGUAUUAGAUUGUCGUGCAGAGAAUGCUUAUCGUUUACUAUAAAAAAAUUAGAGUGUUUAAAACAGAUUUAUACCGUUGAAUAUAUUAGUAUAGAAUAAUAAGAUAGAAUCUUGGUACUAUUUUGUUGAUUUGCGCACCGAGAUAAUGGUUAACAGGAACGGUUAGGAAUAUUCGUAUUCUAUUGUCAGAGAUAAAAUUUUUGGAUUUUUGGAAAACGAACUAUUACGAAAACAUUUAUCAAGAAUAUUUUUAUUA
RNAcentral lists this ribosomal RNA (387 nucleotides) under Cymbella sp. RNAcentral describes it as "partial small subunit ribosomal RNA". It matches the Rfam family "Eukaryotic small subunit ribosomal RNA", at positions 587 to 975 of the family's 1831-position model. The record is from RNAcentral. Lineage: Eukaryota; Bacillariophyta; Bacillariophyceae; Cymbellales; Cymbellaceae.